This 496-nucleotide ribosomal RNA is filed under the name uncultured bacterium. RNAcentral describes it as "bacterial SSU rRNA". It matches the Rfam family "Bacterial small subunit ribosomal RNA", at positions 1 to 507 of the family's 1533-position model. The record is from RNAcentral.
GUGACGAGUUUGAUCCUGGCUCAGAUUGAACGCUGGCGGCAGGCUUAACACAUGCAAGUCGAGCGGAGACUUCGGUCUUAGCGGCGAACGGGUGAGUAAUACCUAGGAAUCUGCCCAUUAGCGGGGGACAACGUUUCGAAAGGAACGCUAAUACCGCAUACGAUCUAUGGAUGAAAGCGGGGGAUCGCAAGACCUCGCGCGAUUGGAGCGGCCGAUAUCAGAUUAGGUAGUUGGUGGGGUAAAAGCCUACCAAGCCUUCGAUCUGUAGCUGGUCUGAGAGGACGACCAGCCACACUGGAACUGAGACACGGUCCAGACUCCUACGGGAGGCAGCAGUGGGGAAUUUUGGACAAUGGGCGCAAGCCUGAUCCAGCAAUGCCGCGUGCAGGAUGAAGGCCUUCGGGUUGUAAACUGCUUUUGUACGGAACGAAACGGUUCUCUCUAAUACAGGGGGCUAAUGACGGUACCGUAAGAAUAAGCACCGGCUAACUACGUG